This 485-nucleotide ribosomal RNA is filed under the name uncultured bacterium. RNAcentral's name for it is "partial 16S ribosomal RNA". It matches the Rfam family "Bacterial small subunit ribosomal RNA", at positions 28 to 507 of the family's 1533-position model. The record is from RNAcentral.
GAUGAACGCUAGCGACAGGCUUAACACAUGCAAGUCGAGGGGCAGCACAGGUAGCACUACCGGGUGGCGACCGGCGCACGGGUGAGUAACGCGUAUGCAACUUACCUAUCAGAGGGGGAUAACCCGGCGAAAGUCGGACUAAUACCGCAUGAAGCAGGGGUCCCGCAUGGGGAUAUUUGCUAAAGAUUCAUCGCUGAUAGAUAGGCAUGCGUUCCAUUAGGCAGUUGGCGGGGUAACGGCCCACCAAACCGACGAUGGAUAGGGGUUCUGAGAGGAAGGUCCCCCACAUUGGUACUGAGACACGGACCAAACGCCUACGGGAGGCAGCAGUGAGGAAGAUUGGUCAAUGGCCGAGAGGCUGAACCAGCCAAGUCGCGUGAGGGAGGAAGGUUCUAUGGAUCGUAAACCUCUUUUAUAAGGGAAUAAAGUGCGGGACGUGUCCCGUUUUGUAUGUACCUGAUGAAUAAGGAUCGGCUAACUCCGUG